CUCUGCUCUGUUUCAGCUUCAGGGGCGUGUUGAGUGCUAUGAACCACGUGACCUUCACAAACAAGAAAUCUCCAAGUACAUCAAUGGUGGACAGUUCUGCGGUAAUACAGCCAACCGUUGGAUCUUCUGCUCUUUCUUAAAGAGACUUGUGUCUCCAGGCCACUCAGUUUGGGAAUGAGGAUUCGAGGAGUAACCCCAGAGUUGAGAUCCCUCUCGAACUCCAGCAGCUGC
This is a long non-coding RNA of Astyanax mexicanus (Mexican tetra), 231 nucleotides long. RefSeq lists it as uncharacterized. The transcript is spliced from 3 exons. Lineage: Eukaryota; Metazoa; Chordata; Actinopteri; Characiformes; Acestrorhamphidae. The record is from RefSeq and is a predicted model, not a curated record.